UGGAAGGGUAGCGAAGAGGCUAAACGCGGCGGACUGUAAAUCCGCUCCUUCGGGUUCGGGGGUUCGAAUCCCUNUUUAUAU
This 81-nucleotide transfer RNA is filed under the name Streptococcus pneumoniae. Its description in RNAcentral is "tRNA-Tyr(gta)". The stretch from base 9 to 74 matches the Rfam family "tRNA", at positions 8 to 63 of the family's 71-position model. Rfam says of the family: Transfer RNA (tRNA) molecules are approximately 80 nucleotides in length. Their secondary structure includes four short double-helical elements and three loops (D, anti-codon, and T loops). Lineage: Bacteria; Bacillati; Bacillota; Bacilli; Lactobacillales; Streptococcaceae. The record is from RNAcentral.